This 1083-nucleotide long non-coding RNA is filed under the name Delphinapterus leucas (beluga whale). Its description in RNAcentral is "lncRNA (ENSDLEG00000019932.1)". Lineage: Eukaryota; Metazoa; Chordata; Mammalia; Artiodactyla; Monodontidae. The record is from RNAcentral.
GGGACGCCCGCGAGUACCUGGGUAUCCCAGGUUCAGGGUCACGGGCGUCCGCUAGGCUGGACCGGCGGCAGCAGCAGACACGCUGGCCCCAGGACUCCCGGCCGCGCGGACACCUGGCCCGCCGGCGCGGCCCCUCCGCGCCCCGCCCGGGUCCUAUUCGGGCUCCCCGCGGGCCGGGCACGGGUGCGGGGCGCGCACGCAGCUUUGACCGAGGCAGCCCGGCCGGGGGAGGCUGAGAAAGUUCCUCCUCCUCGACACCGGCGCCCCCGGCCCCGCUGGCCCCGCAGCCUCCCGGCCCGGCGCAAGAUCGCCGCGCGGAGCCGGCGGCGCGCCGAGCCCCGGGACUGUCCCCGGCGCGGCGGGCAGCGCCUGCUGCGCCCCUCCCGCCCCGGGCGCUCGGGAUCGGCCGCGGGGCGCGCAGCCCGUACUCACCGCCCCUCGCUCGGGAUCCCCAGGUGGCGGCCGCGGAGUGCGGCGCGGCCCGAGCCGAAGCCGGGUGUCGGUGGGGCGGGGGAGUCGGAGGAGGAAGAGCGGCGGCGGCGGCGGCGGCGGCGAGGAGGGGCAGCGGAGGAAAGAGGCGGCGACGCCUGCACACGCCGCGCAACCCGAGCAGCCCGGCAGCCCCACUGCGCUAGCGGGCCCGCCCCAGCGGCGGGGGCUUUAUCGCGGCGCCCGCGGCCCCCGCCCCUUCCUGCCGCCCCCGCCCCCGCCCCGCCCCGCCCCGCCUUCCCGCCGCCUCCUUUGUGUGCCAGCGGCCGCCGCGUCCCCGCGCCCGCACUCCGGGGCGCCCCCGCUCCCGCCGCCGUCCCGCCGAGGCCGCCCCCCGCGGGUCCCCGUCCCGGGGCUGCGCCCAGAAGAGCCGGGAGACGCGCCGACCCCGAGUUGCGGCACCAGCCCGGCCCGAGCUGCACGUGGGUCGCCGGGCUCGGAGGCGGGGGGAGGGCAGGGGGGGGAGGUGUGGGAGGGGGAGGGACCCAAGGGCUCGCGGCGCGUCCCUGGGACGCAGGGCUGGUCGUCUGGGCUGCCCCCCUCCCCGGGAGAAACAGGGGGACGCCCCGGGACAGUGCCUACCGGUCCGGGUGA